This 1018-nucleotide long non-coding RNA is filed under the name Triticum aestivum (bread wheat). RNAcentral's name for it is "long non-coding RNA (TAES_LNC017785)". The record is from RNAcentral. Lineage: Eukaryota; Viridiplantae; Streptophyta; Magnoliopsida; Poales; Poaceae.
GAGAAGUCCGGUCAGCCCGCUCCGCCGAUGCCAGUGAUUGCUCCUGGGAGCACGGUGAGUUUAGUUUGAAUGGACAUUACUUGGUAGUCUUAACAUUUGAGUGUCGUAAUGCUAACGAGACAUUGGAAAUGAUCUUUGGUGCAGCUUAACUCCAGAAACGCAUCACACGAUCCUUCUCCAGGUAGCGGCACUAGCCACCCCGCUCCUACACCUCCCUGACCACGGUAAGUUUCUCUAGUGUUUUGCUUAACAAAUGCAUAAAGACCUAGACUUAGCUUUAUUUCCUCCUAUAUGCUUACCAUAAUGACCUAGAGUUAGCUUAUUUUCCUCCAAAAUGACCCAUUUUACCUAGGUUAGCUUAUAAAUGAUGCAGUUCAUCCAAGUUAGCUCAAAUAUGACCUCUUUUACCUAGAUUAGCUCCUAAAUGAUCCAUUUUACCUACGUUAGCUUUAAAAUGGUCCAUUUCACCUACGUUAACUCCAAAAUGACCCAUCUUACGGUUAUCUCAUAAACGAUCCAUUUCAACUAAUUUAGCUCAUAAACGAUCCAUUUGACCUAAGUGAGCUAAAAAAUGAUCCAUUUCACCUAAAUUAGCUCUUAAAUGAUCCAUUUCACCUAAGUUAGCUGAAAAAGAUCCAUUUCAACUAAAUUAGCUCAAAAAUGAUCCAUUUCAACAAAGUUAGCUCAAAACCGAUCCAUUUCAACAAAGUUAGCUCAAAAACGAUCCAUUUGACCUAAGUGAGCUAAAAACGAUCCAUUUCACCUUAGUUACCUAAAAAACGAUCCAUUUCACCUUAGUUACCUCAAAAAUGAUCCAUUUCUAACUUUCUUAUUUUGCCAUUUUGCAGAUUUCAUUAUGUGCUGGAUGGAGUGCUUGUUCUACUCUUCUUCUUCUUGUCUUCUCAUUCUUGUCUUCUCAUUCUAGUCACCUUAGCUAUGGAGUGCUUCUUUAUGUAUGAAAUGAUGGAUGGAACUUGUUUAUGUAUGAAAUGAUGGAUGGAACUUGUUUAUGUAUGAA